Long non-coding RNA from Pipra filicauda (Wire-tailed manakin), 1744 nucleotides. RefSeq lists it as uncharacterized. The transcript has 3 exons. NCBI's taxonomy places the organism in Eukaryota, Metazoa, Chordata, Aves, Passeriformes, Pipridae. The record is from RefSeq and is a predicted model, not a curated record.
AAAAGAAAUUAUAUGUCUUGCAUCCAAAAAUAAUUUCAAUUUACAGGUAUUGACAAUACUUAAGACAGCACUAGUUUUGGUCAUGGCAGUAUAGCAUCUGGCAUGUGGCAUCAGCCUUACAAAGUCAGCUAUUGUAUGAAACAGUAACCUUAGUUCUUAUUUGUGAUUUUUGCCUGUUUUCGCACUCAUCUGCAAAAGCAAAUCAGGGGAAAACCCUGUUUCUAAACUUCUCUUUGAAAGUGUAAGGUGACAAAUACAUAGUUCCUUACAUGGCUUUCAUUAACACAGAAUCUUUCAGUGCGUUUUCUAAGGCAGCAAGGGCUAUGAAAUAAUUCUGCCCAUGUGUCUGUGUAUCUCUGUUUCAUAAGAACAAAGUUUCACUCUACUGUCCAAUAUUGAUAACAUUUUUUCAGAUGAACAGACCUUUUGUUAUUAAGCUAUUAAAAUAUGGUUCAUAUUGCAGCUGGGUAAGUAAAACGCUCCCUGGGAGAAAAACUGCAAGAUGCCUGCUCUGUUUGGCCUGUUGCUGACCUGUCACCAGGUGAAUGCUGCUCAGCAACUCAGCACAGCACAACUGGGAACCAGCCCCAGCACUGGGUUUGGAGGAUGUGGGUAGUGAGGGAUUGUGGGGGGAGAUGGGUGGCACUGUGAUGGGCAAAAGGGACUCAUCAUAAGAAGAGAAGCUGGAGCUACUACAACAAGGAGAAAUACAGCAUUUUAAGAUUCAUAAGAUUAAAAGCCUCAAGAAUUCCUUUGUUGAAAGAAGUCAAUACUUUGUAACUUACAAGUGAUAUAUCAAAUUGAAGCCAUAGUGAUGUUUUAUAGUAAGCUAUCCACUACAGUUAAAUACAGCCUCCUGUGCUUCUGAACUCUGAACUCUGAUCUGACGCUUUGCUGGACUUUGUGGUCACACAGUUCUGCUUUUAAGAAGUUUGGGUUUGGCCUGGGGUGAGUAGACUCAUUCUAAAAUGUUUAGUACACUGUAUGGUAGUAACUUGUUGCUCUAAACCACUUAAUUCACAAUGAUAUUAUAUGCCUUUUCCUCUGUGGUAAAAAGGAUGUAGAACUAGAUGACUGAUGGAUCGUUGCUGGUGGUGAAAUGGUUGUUGUAGCAUUAGAUUGUGUGGUUUCAUUUUUGAAGUCUUUUUCUUUUAGAUUUGAGAGUUCUCUAGCCAACCUUCAGAAGAGUUAUGAGAAACCAGAAAAGUCCCUUUGGAGUCCUGCAAGGUUCAAGUCAGGCUGAAGGAUCUACUUCUUCUCAGGCAACAGGUUAUUUUUCAGGUAGGCAUGGUAGAUGAAGACCUGCCAAGAUGCUAAGGAUUUACCAUGACCUGAUGAAAAUCCUUGUCAAAGUCUAUUAUGAUGCUUUUCUGCUACAUCAUGCCAACACAUGUCACACCUAUUUACACUUGAACUUCUUGAGAAUUCUCCAUAUGGAAUCUUUUUUGGACAGUUGUCUGUGUAUAGAAACCAUCUCUGAAGAAUGACAAAAGGCUGAAAAACAAAAACCAGAAAGGAAACCAAACAUGAGCCUGUUAAGCAGGGAAAAGGAAAUUGAUGUUGCUUCGAAAAAUGAAAAAUAUUAGUGUUUUGUCCAUUACGGUGAUUCAGCUCCUUAAUCAGUUAUAUGGAGCUGUAUAGUUUUUAUGAAACUGGAGUUGACAUAAAAGAUUAAAGGUAUUUUUACCACUGAUUCUGUACCACACCCUCUGUCCAGGAAAUGAGGAAUGGCUCUCUGAUGCUC